Rosa chinensis is the source of this 1214-nucleotide RNA transcript. RefSeq lists it as uncharacterized. The record is from RefSeq and is a predicted model, not a curated record. Lineage: Eukaryota; Viridiplantae; Streptophyta; Magnoliopsida; Rosales; Rosaceae. The transcript has 4 exons.
CUUCCCUCUUUCUGCCUGCCUUUCAUGUUUCUUUUGUGCUCCGUUUCUUCUGUUUAGUCCUUUAUUGUUUCUAAACGAAUAGGACCUUUACAAGCAACACCAAAACUGAAUUGGGUUUGGGUUUUAUUCUCAACCUUUUGGCUUUUCUGGGUUCCAAAUGCGCACUAGUUGAUGCUGAACUGAUUACUGAAACUACAAAGUAGCAGACGACGUACACCUGUUCUGUGAAGAAAAUUUAUGACAACUAUGGAUGUCAAAGGUAUAAACUGGGUUGGGUGUGUGUACGAGAAAUUUGAAUCUAUGUGCUUGGAGGUGGAAGAAAAUAUGUACCAGGACACAGUUAAAUUUGUUGAAGAUCAGGUACAGACUGUUGGGGAGAGUGUUAAAAAGUUCUAUGCAGAUAUAAUGCAAGAUUUGCUCUGUGACUCUUCAUUGGAUGGAGAUAAUAUAUCAGCUUGUGGUUUUCCUAUUGAACAUUAUUCAGAUGUUGAUAAUUCUAAGAAAUCAAAGAUUAGAAAAACGAAAGAACAUGUAAAGGUUGGUGUUGAAGAAGUAAAUGGGGAUUCAGAGGUGAUUUCUGUUGUGGAGAAGAAUGUGGAACAUACAGGAUUGUUUCAUAGACAGCGCGUGUAUGAUUCUUGCACAAGAUCCUCAGGUGAUUGUGCUAAAGUAGCAUGCUCUGACUUGUACUCAAGACAAGACCAUGGCAUGAGAAGCUAUAUCAAUAAAAUUUGGUUGUCAAACAAACUCCUAUCAAGGACAGAUUGCCAGGGGCAAAUACUGCUGUUGGAAAAGAUUUUAACAGAGUAUCACUAUCAUGCAGCGAAUUUUCAAAUGAAAACCAUGACGCUUCAUGUGACCAACCAGAUGAAGUUAUAACUCCUACAGUGGAAGGUAUGAGAUGUGAUUCCAUGAGGGAAAGAUGUGUGGUUGCGAAUGCUAGCCAAUGUACAGAUGAUGUUUCAAUUAACUGCCAAUCAUCUGAUUUGAUUGUUUUGGAUAAAUCUGAUGGAAAAAGAUGGAAUGAACUGUUAGAGUCAUCGAUUGGUGGGUUAUCAGCUGAAUCAAAUGGUGGAUCUAAUAUCUCCAGUGUGCAUGGAACGGAAAUCAGUCAACAAUCUGACAAGGCAAAGCUCGAGGAAACUUGUGUGAUGGUCAGUGGUGAAGAACUUCAUUUUGUUCAUCACAUGGUAGCCAACUGUAAGCCUUACAAG